CUCCUGGAAACGGGUGGUAAUGCCGGAUGCUCCGCCCCCUCGCAUGGGGGGUCGGGAAGGCUUUUGCGGAAUGGGAUGGGGUCGCGUCCUAUCAGCUUGUUGGCGGGGCGACGGCCCACCAAGGCUUCGACGGGUAGCCGGCCUGAGAGGGCGACCGGCCACAUUGGGACUGAGAUACGGCCCAGACUCCUACGGGAGGCAGCAGUGGGGAAUAUUGCACAAUGGGGGGAACCCUGAUGCAGCGACGCCGCGUGCGGGAUGGAGGCCUUCGGGUCGUGAACCGCUUUUGAUUGGGAGCAAGCGUGAGUGAGUGUACCUUUCGAAUAAGCACCGGCUAACUACGUGCCAGCAGCCGCGGUAAUACGUAGGGUGCAAGCGUUGUCCGGAAUCAUUGGGCGUAAAGGGCUCGUAGGCGGUUCGUCGCGUCCAGUGUGAAAGCCCAUCGCUUAACGGUGGGUCUGCGCCGGGUACGGGCGGGCUUGAGUGCGGCAGGGGAGGCUGGAAUUCCCGGUGUAACGGUGGAAUGUGUAGAUAUCGGGAAGAACACC
Molecule: ribosomal RNA, 548 nt
Filed under: uncultured Bifidobacterium sp.
Lineage: Bacteria; Bacillati; Actinomycetota; Actinomycetes; Bifidobacteriales; Bifidobacteriaceae
Description: bacterial SSU rRNA
Rfam family: Bacterial small subunit ribosomal RNA
Source: RNAcentral